AGGAAAAGAAACUAACAAGGAUUCCCCUAGUAACUGCGAGUGAAGCGGGAAAAGCUCAAAUUUAAAAUCUGGCGGUCUUCGGCCGUCCGAGUUGUAGUCUGGAGAAGUGCUUUCCGCGCUGGACCGUGUAUAAGUCUCUUGGAACAGAGCGUCAUAGAGGGUGAGAAUCCCGUCUUUGACACGGACUACCAGUGCUUUGUGAUGCGCUCUCAAAGAGUCGAGUUGUUUGGGAAUGCAGCUCAAAAUGGGUGGUGAAUUCCAUCUAAAGCUAAAUAUUGGCGAGAGACCGAUAGCGAACAAGUACCGUGAGGGAAAGAUGAAAAGCACUUUGGAAAGAGAGUUAAACAGUACGUGAAAUUGCUGAAAGGGAAACGCUUGAAGUCAGUCGCGUCGUCCGGAACUCAGCCUUGCUUUCGCUUGGUGCACUUUCCGGAUGACGGGUCAGCAUCGAUUUUGACCGUCGGAAAAGGGCUGGAGUAAUGUGGCACCUCCGGGUGUGUUAUAGACUCUAGUCGCAUACGGCGGUUGGGAUCGAGGAACGCAGCGCGCCGCAAGGCAGGGGUUCGCCCACUUUCGCGCUUAGGAUGCUGGCAUAAUGGCUUUAAACGACCCGUCUUGAAACACGGACCAAGGAGUCUAACAUACCUGCGAGUGUUUGGGUGGAAAACCCGAGCGCGUAAUGAAAGUGAAAGUUGAGACCUCUGUCGUGGAGGGCAUCGACGCCCGGACCUGACGUUCUCUGAAGGAUCCGCGGUAGAGCAUGUAUGUUGGGACCCGAAAGAUGGUGAACUAUGCCUGAAUAGGGUGAAGCCAGAGGAAACUCUGGUGGAGGCUCGUAGCGAUUCUGACGUGCAAAUCGAUCGUCAAAUUUGGGUAUAGGGGCGAAAGACUAAUCGAA
This 898-nucleotide ribosomal RNA is filed under the name Ganoderma lucidum. RNAcentral's name for it is "partial large subunit ribosomal RNA". It matches the Rfam family "Eukaryotic large subunit ribosomal RNA", at positions 54 to 939 of the family's 3401-position model. Lineage: Eukaryota; Fungi; Basidiomycota; Agaricomycetes; Polyporales; Polyporaceae. The record is from RNAcentral.